Molecule: ribosomal RNA, 207 nt
Filed under: uncultured bacterium
Lineage: Bacteria
Description: partial 16S ribosomal RNA
Rfam family: Bacterial small subunit ribosomal RNA
Source: RNAcentral
CGUGCAGGCGGCUUGGUAGGUUGGACGUGAAAGCUCCUGGCUCAACUGGGAGAGGCCGUUCAAUACCGCCAGGCUUGAGGUCGGAAGAGGGGAGUGGAAUUCCCGGUGUAGUGGUGGAAUGCGUAGAUAUCGGGAGGAACACCUGUGGCGAAGGCGGCUCCCUGGUCCGCACCUGACGCUAAGACGCGAAAGCGUGGGGAGCGAGCG